This is a non-coding RNA of Lactuca sativa (garden lettuce), 1034 nucleotides long. The record is from RefSeq and is a predicted model, not a curated record. NCBI's taxonomy places the organism in Eukaryota, Viridiplantae, Streptophyta, Magnoliopsida, Asterales, Asteraceae.
UUCCCUUGUAUAUCAAUUCCUUUCUCCCUUUUUUUUUUCUGGCUCUCUAGCUCUUUUCUAUUUAAAAUUUAGUAAUAUUUGGUCUUUGUAAAAUAUUCCCCCUUCUCUCAACCAUCUCUCCUUCUCUCUAACCCUAAUUAGCCGCCAGUCACACCAUCUGAUGAUGUUGUUUGUUUUUUCUAAGGCUAUAGUGGCUCACGCUUUUUCAAUCUCAUAUUCCAUAACUUUCUUUUACUCUAUCGAUUGCAGGUAUUCCAAGAAGUCGAUUCAUAGAGACGGUGAAGAAGAAUUGGAUUUGUAUGAGGCUUCUUAACUCUAUUGUCAUCUCUAUUGCUUGCUUCGAUUCACCAUAGUGAUCUGUUUCUUGGGGGUUCGGAUGUAAAUCUCCAUUGGUGAUCUGUUUCUUGGGUUUUCCUCUCAAUAUGUUAAAAGAAAUAGACCAGGUUUGUGUUAUGUUCUUUUCCACUGUAUAAAAUACAUAAAAACCCCAUUGUGUGUGUUUUUUUGAAGAUUUUACUUUAACGUGAAGACCCUGUCUGCUCCAUCAUCACUUUAAUUGCAGGUUAACAUGAAUGAAAAGUAUUAUCUAUUGGAAUAGACAAAAAAAAAGGGCUAACAACAUAAGGAAAUAAGAACUUUUGAUUCAAAUGGAUGUUGAUGAUCUUGAGGAGUAUGCUCAAAUUCCACCGGGACAAAAGUGAUGAGUUUUGAGCAAAAGAACAUCCUAUGUACACAUGCAAAUCACUUCAAAAGAUGUCGAUUGCUGGCUGAGGAGGGCAUAGAGGUGUUCAAAAGUAGAAAGGGUGAUUGUGUACAGGCAAUGAAAAAUGAGCAUGUUUUAGCAAGGAAGCAUACAUAAGAGCUGAGAUUAUCACAUGAUGUGGAAGAGAUGAAGUCAAAACUCAGAGAACUUGAUUCAUUGCUUUCACAGAUCAACAUUGUUUUCUGUUCUUCAUGCUUCUAUUUAUUUAGAUUCAAUGGAACUAGACCAUGUUUUGUUGGGCCUUUAAGAAUGGAAUGAGUUUUCAUCAUAA